RNAcentral lists this small nucleolar RNA (70 nucleotides) under Oncorhynchus tshawytscha (Chinook salmon). RNAcentral's name for it is "Small nucleolar RNA SNORD50". It matches the Rfam family "Small nucleolar RNA SNORD50". Rfam says of the family: U50 belongs to the C/D class of snoRNA which contain the C (UGAUGA) and D (CUGA) box motifs. Most of the members of the box C/D family function in directing site-specific 2'-O-methylation of substrate RNAs. U50 is an intronic snoRNA gene located on chromosome 6q15, at the breakpoint of chromosomal translocation t(3;6)(q27;q15). The record is from Rfam by way of RNAcentral. Lineage: Eukaryota; Metazoa; Chordata; Actinopteri; Salmoniformes; Salmonidae.
UAUUAAGGAUGACCUAUCCCGAACCUGAUUCCUGUAAGAUGACAACCCUGUCGGAUCUGACUUCUGAAAU